RNAcentral lists this ribosomal RNA (443 nucleotides) under uncultured bacterium. RNAcentral describes it as "partial 16S ribosomal RNA". It matches the Rfam family "Bacterial small subunit ribosomal RNA", at positions 338 to 795 of the family's 1533-position model. The record is from RNAcentral.
CCUACGGGUGGCAGCAGUGGGGAAUAUUGCACAAUGGGCGAAAGCCUGAUGCAGCAACGCCGCGUGAAGGAAGAAGGGUUUCGGCUCGUAAACUUCUAUCAACAGGGACGAAAGAAAUGACGGUACCUGAAUAAGAAGCCCCGGCUAACUACGUGCCAGCAGCCGCGGUAAUACGUAGGGGGCGAGCGUUAUCCGGAAUUACUGGGUGUAAAGGGAGCGUAGACGGCGAGGUAAGCCUGAAGUGGAAGCCCGCGGCCCAACCGCGGAACUGCUUUGGGAACUGUUUUGCUGGAGUAUGGGAGGGGUAAGCGGAAUUCCUGGUGUAGCGGUGAAAUGCGUAGAUAUCAGGAGGAACACCGGUGGCGAAGGCGGCUUACUGGACCAUAACUGACGUUGAGGCUCGAAAGCGUGGGGAGCGAACAGGAUUAGAUACCCCAGUAGUC